UUCCCGCGUCACAGACGGUCUUUAGGAGCGACUCGUGGGCGUUAAGACUGGGCUGAGUUUGUGGCGCGCUUAGUGAUGGGUUGGCGCUGUGCAGGACGCCGACACAAAAAGAUGAAGAGUUCAAUCCGUGCUGUCUGAACUCACAGUGUAGUGGGCGAGACAGACGGGAUGAUCGGUAGAGUGGGAGAUGCCGGAAAGGCUUCCCGUGAGACUGGAUAAGAAAUCAAAAAUCUGGUGAAAUUGGCGGCAGGAGGGAGUUAAGGACAUUCCAGGCAGAGGCAAGAUCCUGCCUGUCCAUCCCUACAGAGCAGCUGCACAUGAACAUUUUUAUUUCUCCUCCUUCAGCUAUUUGACAGACCGUGUGCUCUUUUGAACUUUGCCACCGCAUCACAACUAGACCCUGAACAGGAUGGAUUUCUGGACUUCUGAAAGUUGGUCCUUGCUGGCUGAUCCAGCUUCCCAGUCAGCAUAUGGUGAGCAGUUCAGUGAGAGGACCACACUUCCAAUACUGGCAGCUCUGGCCCUGCUGCGCCCUCUGCCUGAUCACCUGCUGCCCCGUCUCAGCUUUCCCAUCCCGCUGGCUCCUGGGACUCUUUCAAAGGCUUCAUAAGACCUAUAGUGAAGGUCUGGCCAUCAGGCCCCAUUUCUGCCCAGCAGAGACUGCUAUGACCCAGUGAUGACAUCGUGCCCUAAGAACUUCCCCACAUUCUCAACUCGCAGAUGACCUCAGAUGUAGCUGCUCUCUCAGGCCUUCAAUGUACGUCUCCACCCAAAUGAGUAAUAUUUGCAUUACAAGGAGGAAAAGAGAGAGGGAGCCAUUGGGUACCUGCUGUACCAGGCACAUUAUAUGCUAUUGUCCCUGUUUUCCAGAUGAAGCCAGAUACUCCUCCAUGAAGUUAAAUGACUGGUUCAGUGUUACACUGCUAGUGAGUGAGAGAUGGAAUUUGAAUGCACACCUGUCUGACUCCACCUCACGUGUUCUUUCCACAUGGCCAGCAAGCUCUGCUGUCCCACCUCACACCUCUGGGAGGUAGCUACUCCCUCUUUCCACCCCCUUUUCUGGAUCUUGACAAGGGGUUCUGCCCUGCCCCAGCUGUCAAAGCCUGCAGCAGCUGCCAAAAAACCUCAACACAGGCAUACUUUGGACCUACAUCAUGUGUUGAUGUCACAGAUGCUGUACCAGGCAUUUGACUCCUUGAUCUAAAGCCUGGAUUCCUGGCCAACAUGGCGAAACCCUGUCUCUACUAAAAAUAACAAAAAUUAGCUGGGCGUGGUGAUAGGCGCCUGUAAUCCCAGCUACUUGGGAGGCUGAGGCAGGAGAAUUACUUGAACCCAGGAAGCGAAGGCUGCAGUGAGCAGAGAUUGUGCCUCUGCACUACAGCCUGGGCUAUGGAAUAAGACUGUCUCAAAAAAAAAAAAAAAAAAAAAUAGGGGGAUGCAUGCCUACACAAAGGAAUCCUGACAGAGGAACAGUGGCUUGGUCCGUUUCCCCUCCUACGUAGCACUGUGAUAAAGGAAAGCCUUUCAGGUAUGCGCCUUGAUGGAGCCAGUGGGUGGAAGAGGAAGGGCAGUGAGAGGUUUGAGGACAAGCCGCUGAUACCCUCAUGUAUCAUCACAGUGGUGCCCUUUGGGAGCCUGCUUUGGUAUACUCAUCCACUCAGGGAAGAGGAAGUCUCUUAUCCACAACUUUGUCUUCAAAAUUGAAAUUUUUUUGGGUAGAGCCCAAAAGAGAGUUGCCUCAUUUCGUGUAACUGUAGUGUAUGUAGUGUAGAGGCUCCAAUGUGUUUUUGAGGCAAUCUGAGAGCUCUUUCUGGAAAUCCCAGGCAGAUGACAUCUGCGUCUGAUUUUAGUUUGUCUUACAACCAGGCUAAGACCUCCAGCAUCAUCAGACUGUUGAAUUGCUCAGGUCAAGGCAGACAGGUAGAAAGGCCCACAUAGAUAGUGGUUACUCAUCCCAAGAACACAGAGGCCCACACCAGGAAGGAGCAGGUGAUGUUAAUGAUGAAGCAGGCAGUCAUAUCUUGCGAUUUCUAUGAGCCAUGAUGCAUUACACUAAGGAACUUUACCUCACUUGGCUUGUGACUUGUGUUAGUGAAAAGUGGCCUGCUGGCCUAUGCUGGGGAGGACCUGCAGAAAACUUCCCAGCCACUGGCAGAAGGUGGACAUCUCCCCUGGUUCCUCCCCAACCCAUUUAGUGUGAAACAGGACAAAGGGAAACAUUUCCUUUGAUCUAUUUUUGGGGAAAGAGGCAAAUGUCAACUAAAUAAGAUCAUAUUAGGGACUGGGCGUGGUGGCUUAUGCCCGUAAUCCCAGCACUUUGGGAGGCCAAGGUGGGUGGAUCACCUGAGGUCAGAAGUUAGAGACCAGCCUGGCCAACAUGGCAAAACCCCAUCUCUACUAAAAAUACAAAAAAUAUUAGCCAGGUGUGGUAGCACGUGCCUGUAAUCCCAGCCACUCGGGAGGCUGAGGCACAAGAAUCGCUUGAACCCAGGAGGCGGAGGUUGCAGUGAGGUGAGAUCACACCACUGCACUCCAGCAGCCUGUGUGAUAGAGACUUGUCUCAAAAAAAAAAAAAAAAGAAAAGAAAAAAUCCUAUUAGGAAUUUCAUGAAAGCUCACACAGUUCUUGCACACAUCAUUCAAGGCCUGUUAUGGGGGCCCAGAACAUCAGGACAUGGUAGCUAGCCUCACAUUCAGCUCCAUUGCACUAGAGCUUUGCAUGAUCUCAAUUUGAAAAGCACACAUGUAUAUCUACAUUUGUAUCUCUAUUCUAAUAUUAUAUACUGUAUAUGACUUUUUAAAAUACUAGUUUGCUGUUUCUAUUUUGUGCUAAUGCAACAAAUCUAAUUUGCUUUAGAAACAGUUAUUACUGUUUCUUGCUUCUUAUCACCCCCUACCGUUUGGACUUUGUUGUCCAUCUUUCUCUGCCUAAUUGGACCACAGCCUAGUGCCUCAAUCUCCACAAAAUCUGUUCCCUUCUAGCUCAAGAUGACUGCAUUCUCUCUCAGUUCGCAGUGCACUCACGGACUGCUCAUUCGUCUGCCCUUGUGCUCUGUGCCUUUUUGGCAUCUGCAGUCCAGAUUCCUAAGAUGAGGACACAGCAUCCUGGGCCACUGUCACUAAUACAAAUUUGCCUCUGGAGGGACUCUACGGAAGAUAAUUCCCCUGAAAUUUGGAGAGUUGAAUUAAGCUAGGACUGAUUCUGCCUGGAAUUUGUGGUGGCUACCUACCCUAGAGGGCCUCAAGGAAACCUAUGGUUCAAGACAACCCUGACAGAUUCUAGAGUCUAGAACAGAACACCUGUUCCACCAGGGAUGGAUUUGAACAUGGGCAAGGCCAACCACCCAGUUCACAGCCUGUGUACAGCAAAGAUUACGUUACAGCCUGAGAGCUAAGCCUGGAAGCUCUUUCAUCCAUCCACUUGUCCAUCCAUCCAUCCAUCUGCUCAUCCAUCCCUCCAUCUGCUCAACAAAUGUUACAGAACCAAUCCUUGUGUCAUACUGGGGCUGCCCUCAAGGAGCUUUUAUAGAGUUCAGGGUACAGCCAGGUGGGGGAGACAGAUCACUAUUAAAACCUACCACUAUAAUCCAAAGGACAAGAGCAAAAAUAGUAAAGAGGAGAGAAGACCCAAAUUUGCCUGCUGGGUCAGAGAGGGCUUUCUAGAAGAGGUGAAAAAUCUUCGGGGCUAUCACUUCACCUCACCUGGUGGAUAAAGGGAGGACUUUCCAGAUACAGUGGACAGAAUGUGCAGAGGCAGGAGAGGGACUGCAGAGACAGGCUGGAGCCAAAGCACGAUGGCAUUGGAGCCAUAGCCAAAGGAACAAACUGUGAGACCUGGGACUUGAAUUUGGAGGUGGUGAAAAGUGACAAGGUCUUCACAGAAGAGUGAUUUUUUCAACUCGUGGAAGGCUGACCCCAGACCAAUGCUGCCAAAGUGUGGUCUGUGGGCUGUUAGCAGUUCAUGACCAUGUAAGUACAGGAAUUGAGAGUAAGCAUUUAGAACACCUACAGCACUUUGAUAGUCAUUUUACUUUUUAAAUUUUGAGCUGGCAUUUCGUAUGCCUGUUUAUUUUUCUUUUCUUUGAGACAGUCUCGCUCUGUCGCCCAGGCUGGAGUGCAGUGGCACGAUCUCGGCUCACUGCAAGCUCCGCCUCCUGGGUUCACGCCAUUCUCCUGCCUCAGCCUCCCGAGUAGCUGGGACUACAGGUGCUUGCCACCUCACCAGGCUAAUUUUCUGUAUUUUUAGUACAGACGGGGUUUCACCAUGUUAGCCAGGAUGGUCUCCAUCUCCUGACCUCGUGAUCUGCCCGCCUCGGCCUCCCGAAGUGCUGGGAUUACAGGUGUGAGCCACCAUGCCCAGCCUUAUUCUAUUUUUCUAAUAGUUGCACUUUAUCAUAUUUUACAAAUGUUUGAGUCUGCUAUGGAUUAGAAAUUAAUAAGAGAUUUUGCCACAGAUAGUUUGAGAAGCCCAGCACUGCCACUCAACAAAUGCUAGUGCAUUCAGGUGGUGAAAUAUUCUGCAGCUAUUAAAGGAGUUAAAACUGCCUCCACUUACCUGGAGGCCCAUCUGUGACACCUUUUUAGGUUAAAAGAAAAACUUGCUUAGGACUGAAUAUGAGUGGUUGCAAUUUUUUAACAAUGAUGUAUAUACAUAUAUAUUUUUAUAUAUUUGUAUGAACAUAAAAGUAUUGAAGGAUAUUCAUCAAACUGCUAAAAGGGUUGCUUCGGAGUAACAGACUUGGAGAAGGCAGAUUAAUUUUCUCUUAAUGGAACUCUAUUGUAUCACUUGUAAAAAUAAGCAUGUGUUACCUUUAUGAUAAAAAAGUAAAAACCUAAAAAAGAAAAAUUUGAUGUGUGUUAAAAUUUUGGAUUUCUAGGCUCCACCCUUUUGAAUGAGCCUCUCCAAGAGUGGGGCCCUCACAUGUAUAGUGAGAAAAAGCUCCCUGAUUACAGGAUGUUACCAAGCCCCACUAGGUGCAGGAACCCUGCUUGGUACCCACCUGAGCCUCAGCAGCUCCUCCCCAUCAUGGGCAUGAUGAGGUCUCCCUAUGGGGAGAUGUGAAGAUGAUGGGACAGGCUGCAGCAGGCACCGAUUAAAUGAGUCCCUUCCUCUGAUGACCCUAAGGCUAUCGGAUCAUCAUCACUCCCUCCCCAAAGCCACACCUGAUUAUUCCAGCCAGCACUCGGCCUGCCCCUUUUCUGAAUGCCUUUUGAUUUUAGCUAACAUUUUUAGCAUUUGAGUGUUUCAUUUAAUUUGAGACAGAGUCUC
Molecule: RNA transcript, 5268 nt
Organism: Symphalangus syndactylus (siamang)
Lineage: Eukaryota; Metazoa; Chordata; Mammalia; Primates; Hylobatidae
Source: RefSeq, a predicted model, not a curated record